UUCGUGUGAACAGUGGUUGAUCACGAGUUAGUCGGUCCUAAGUUCAAGGCGAAAGCUGAAAAUUUUCAAGUAAAAAUGAUGAUAAAUAAAUUAUAAUAAAUAUAUAAAACACUUGAAUAAUUUUGAACGAAAGGGAAUACGGUUCCAAUUCCGUAACCUGUUGAGUAUCCGUUUGUUAUUAAAUAUGGGCCUUGUGCUCAUCCUGGCAACAGGAACGACCAUAAAGAAGCCGUCGAGAGAUAUUGGAAGAGUUUUCUUUUCUGUUUUAUAGCCGUACUACCAUGGAAGUCUUUCGCAGAGAGAUAUGGUAGAUGGGCUAGAAGAGCAUGACAUAUACUGUUGUGUCAAUAUUUUCUCCUCGGACCUUGAAAAUUUAUGGUGGGGAUACGCAAACUUCUCAACAGGCCGUACCAAUAUCCGCAGCUGGUCUCCAAGGUGAAGAGUCUCUAGUCGAUAGAAUA
RNAcentral lists this ribosomal RNA (461 nucleotides) under Dichaetophora sp. 6 (Toda). RNAcentral's name for it is "partial 28S ribosomal RNA". It matches the Rfam family "Eukaryotic large subunit ribosomal RNA", at positions 1508 to 1897 of the family's 3401-position model. The record is from RNAcentral. Lineage: Eukaryota; Metazoa; Arthropoda; Insecta; Diptera; Drosophilidae.